Molecule: unclassified non-coding RNA, 276 nt
Filed under: soil metagenome
Description: partial contains small subunit ribosomal RNA, internal transcribed spacer 1, and 5.8S ribosomal RNA
Source: RNAcentral
UUUCCGUAGGUGAACCUGCGGAAGGAUCAUUAUCGUACAAAAUGUGUAGAGGCAUGCCGGGGUUGUCGCUGACCAAAAAGUUGUGCACGCCACAGUGUGUCCUCUCACAUAACAAUCCAUCUCACCCUUUGUGCACCACCGCGUGGGCACCCCUUUGGGAUCAGACCGAUCUCGGAGGGGGUUCGCGUUUUCACACAAAAACCCCCCUUUAAAAAGUGUAGAAUGACCUCAUUUAUGCAAUCAAUACAACUUUCAACAACGGAUCUCUUGGCUCUC